RNAcentral lists this long non-coding RNA (680 nucleotides) under Capsicum annuum. Its description in RNAcentral is "long non-coding RNA (CANN_LNC003952)". The record is from RNAcentral. Lineage: Eukaryota; Viridiplantae; Streptophyta; Magnoliopsida; Solanales; Solanaceae.
AGGAGGAGAAUGAUGUAGAAGAUGAAGUGGUUGACAAGGGGAAGGACGAACAGACAGCCAAGGAAGUAGAAACAGAGUACAUAAAAGAAUUAGAGAUGUUUGAUGGAGAGGCUCCGAAGAGGCAGAAAUAUAAGGCCUGCAAUGACCCUCAAUCUGAGGAUGGGGGCAAACUAGCGGAAAACGUCACACAGGAGACUGCUGUAGAAGUUGAAAUGGAGAACAAGGAGGACGAGAUGGGGGCUAUUAAGGGAACUGCAGACCAUAAAAAAGAAAAGGAAAUGUCUGAUAGAGAGGUUUCAGAGAGAAAAAUUGAGGCCAGCAAUGACCCUCAAUCUGAGGAUGGGGGCAAACUGACGGAAAAUGUCGCGCGCGAGACUGCUGCAGAGGUUGAAAUGGAGAACACGGAGCACGAGAUGGGGGCUAAUAAGGAAGCUGCAGACCACAAAAAAGGAGAGGAAAUGUCUGAUAGAGAGGUUUCAGAGAGGAAAAUUGAGGCCAGCAAUGAAACUCAGUCUCAGGUUGAGGAUGGAGGUGAAAUGGCUGAAAAUGGUAGAGGGGUGACGAUCGCAAUUGAUGCCAACAUCUGGAAUGAUUCGAUGGGACAGGACUAUUUCAUGGGAAUGUUUCCAGAUGCUGUAAUUGAAGAAACAAAUGUUGCUGAAGCAGGAGCAGAAGUUGGG